Molecule: ribosomal RNA, 627 nt
Filed under: uncultured bacterium
Lineage: Bacteria
Description: bacterial SSU rRNA
Rfam family: Bacterial small subunit ribosomal RNA
Source: RNAcentral
UUGGGCGUAAAGCGCGCGCAGGCGGCUUCUUAAGUCUGAUGUGAAAGCCCACGGCUCAACCGUGGAGGGUCAUUGGAAACUGGGGAGCUUGAGUACAGAAGAGGAGAGUGGAAUUCCACGUGUAGCGGUGAAAUGCGUAGAGAUGUGGAGGAAUACCAGUGGCGAAGGCGGCUCUCUGGUCUGUUACUGACGCUGAGGCGCGAAAGCGUGGGGAGCAAACAGGAUUAGAUACCCUGGUAGUCCACGCCGUAAACGAUGAGUGCUAGGUGUUAGGGGGGUCCAACCCCUUAGUGCUGAAGUUAACACAUUAAGCACUCCGCCUGGGGAGUACGACCGCAAGGUUGAAACUCAAAGGAAUUGACGGGGGCCCGCACAAGCAGUGGAGCAUGUGGUUUAAUUCGAAGCAACGCGAAGAACCUUACCAGGUCUUGACAUCCUCUGACAACCCUAGAGAUAGGGCGUUCCCCUUCGGGGGACAGAGUGACAGGUGGUGCAUGGUUGUCGUCAGCUCGUGUCGUGAGAUGUUGGGUUAAGUCCCGCAACGAGCGCAACCCUUGAUCUUAGUUGCCAGCAUUCAGUUGGGCACUCUAAGGUGACUGCCGGUGACAAACCGGAGGAAGGUGGGGA